Molecule: unclassified non-coding RNA, 364 nt
Filed under: fungal sp.
Lineage: Eukaryota; Fungi
Description: partial internal transcribed spacer region
Rfam family: Eukaryotic small subunit ribosomal RNA (bases 1-46)
Source: RNAcentral
AAGUCGUAACAAGGUUUCCGUAGGUGAACCUGCGGAAGGAUCAUUACCACACCUAAAAAACUUUCCACGUGAACUGUCGUUAUUUGUUGUGUGUCUGCGCGUUGCUGGCGUGCGUUUGCUUACGCUUCGGUGUUUGCGAGUGCGUGCUGGCGGUGCGCGGACUGAACGAAGGUCGUGUUGCCGUGUGCCUGCUGCACUGCUGACUUUGCAUUGAUUUGCAUGGUCUUGGCGGAGCGGCGGGUGCUGUGCGUGCGCGGCUGACUUACUUUUUCAAACCCCAUACCUAACUUACUGAUUAUACUGUGAGAACGAAAGUUCUUGCUUUUAACUAGAUAACAACUUUCAGCAGUGGAUGUCUAGGCUC